GAACGUCCCUCGUUUUUGAGCACACCUUCCACUCAACGUUCCAGUACAGAUUGACGUUUUGGUUGACUGAUCAAACUUGCUGACGUGAGCGAGUGACAAAGAAAUGCAGGGACAAAAGAAGAAUCGAAAAUGUGCUAUCUUCGACUACGAUGCAAGUGAUGAUAUCCAAAACUGUUUAUUUGAAGUGAAAUACCUAAUGAAUUCAUUAUUUACUAUGCUUAAUUCUAAAUUUGUUAUUCUAUUUACUUACUAAGUUCUAUACACCUAGAUCGAAUUCACAAUAGCUAUAUGUAUCGAAUCAAUAUCUGGAUUCGUAAUGAUUUGAUACGAUAUUCCAUAAAAGCGAUUAUUCUAAGACACUUUCCGGGUUAGAAACUAGAGAAAUUACAAAACGAAACUUUAAUCGUUGGAAUCAAUAAACCAGUUUAAAAGUUCGGAUCGUCGUAUUUCUCGUUGCGCAAGCAACA
Molecule: long non-coding RNA, 467 nt
Organism: Aedes albopictus (Asian tiger mosquito)
Lineage: Eukaryota; Metazoa; Arthropoda; Insecta; Diptera; Culicidae
Exons: 4
Source: RefSeq, a predicted model, not a curated record